GAACUUAUGGCUUAGUGGUCAUACUGCAUGGACGGUUUCCAAGAGACGCGGGUUCAAAUUCCGCUAAGUUCA
This 72-nucleotide transfer RNA is filed under the name Heliconius melpomene (postman butterfly). RNAcentral's name for it is "tRNA HMEL017502". It matches the Rfam family "tRNA". Rfam says of the family: Transfer RNA (tRNA) molecules are approximately 80 nucleotides in length. Lineage: Eukaryota; Metazoa; Arthropoda; Insecta; Lepidoptera; Nymphalidae. The record is from RNAcentral.